AUUGAACGCUGGCGGAAUGCUUUACACAUGCAAGUCGAACGGCAGCACGGACUUCGGUCUGGUGGCGAGUGGCGAACGGGUGAGUAAUACAUCGGAACGUGCCCAGUCGUGGGGGAUAACGUAGCGAAAGCUACGCUAAUACCGCAUACGAUCUAAGGAUGACAGCGGGGGACCGUAAGGCCUCGCGCGAUUGGAGCGGCCGAUGGCAGAUUAGGUAGUUGGUGGGGUAAAGGCCCACCAAGCCGACGAUCUGUAGCUGGUCUGAGAGGACGACCAGCCACACUGGGACUGAGACACGGCCCAGACUCCUACGGGAGGCAGCAGUGGGGAAUUUUGGACAAUGGGGGCAAGCCUGAUCCAGCCAUUCCGCGUGCAGGAUGAAGGCCCUCAGGUUGUAAACUGCUUUUGUACGGAACGAAAAGGCUCUGGUUAAUACCUGGGGCUCAUGACGGUACCGUAAGAAUAAGCACCGGCUAACUACGUGCCAGCCGCCGCCGUAA
This 500-nucleotide ribosomal RNA is filed under the name uncultured bacterium. Its description in RNAcentral is "partial 16S ribosomal RNA". It matches the Rfam family "Bacterial small subunit ribosomal RNA", at positions 30 to 523 of the family's 1533-position model. The record is from RNAcentral.